CCCCCCCAAGAUGGCGUUGUCCGUUCCUCGGAGUCGCGGCUGCUGCUGCGACAGAGAAUCGCCCUGGGAGCUGCUCUGUGACCCUGAACUCCGUGGAUUUCCGCAGAUGGUGGAAUUGCCUCUCUGUCCAUGUGCUGAUCUCGGGCUGCAGGGGACUGUCAGGCUGUGAGUUUGUGUUCUUCUCCCUGGGAAACUGGAAAUAAUUACCAGUCAGGUUUCAGAAAUGUUUUCAGAAGCCUUUGCCCUUUUCUCUGCCUUUGGCUGAUAGAUCUCCUCUUUGUGCCUUUGGCUUUGCAGCUUUUCCCUGGUGUCAUUUCCCUGCCUGAGCUGGCUGUGAGUUGGUGGUGGACGGCGAGGCCGGAGAGAGUGAGCGGAGGAGCCUCGGGCUGGAGAGGGGCAGGAGAAAGGCCCUGUGGGCAAAGGGACCUCCCUGUGUGCCCAGGGCCCUGCAGGGGACAGGAUGGACACUCUGGGGUCACUCUGAAGGGUGAGUGGAGAGCGUGGAGACAGAAUGUGAGUUCACCUCCAGGGAAUAAAUAGGGGAUGUUUGUGAGAGAAGGGCUGAGGGGUUUUGUCGGGAAGAGAAUGCCCAGUUUUGGGGUAACAAAGAUAAAAUCAGUUCUGUAGAGGAAGGAGAAAAGUGGGGGUGAAACUGGAUGUUAUUUGCAGGGGAGAGAAUGAGCAUUGAGAGGUGCCCUGGGGCAGUCAGCAGUGGGCAUGCAGGGAAAGUUCUGAGAGUAAACUUGCAAUAGUCUCUAGGGUAAGGAUUGAACAUAUUUAGGUAUCAAGGAGGUGAUUGGAUGUGGAGAGGUAGAGAAAUUUUGGGGGUUAAAAUCUGGGGCAACCUGUAGCAGAGAGAAUGAAAAUAUUGUGCAAAAACAGAGGUAAUCAGGAGUGGGCUGGAAGGGAAAGUGGGGAUGUAAUAGGAGAUAGUAUCCAUGGUAGAGAAUGACGAUUUGGAGGUAAAACUGAAGUAAUCAGCAGUGGACAGGCAGGGAAAAGUUUGAGGUAAAAUGUGGGGCAGUGUGUAGCAGAGAGAAGUAAGAUUUUGGGGUAAACUGAGGCCAUCAGUAGUGGGCAGGUAAGGAAGGUUCUGAGGGUAAAACUUGAGAAAAUCUCCAGGGUAGGAAAUGAAGAAUUGGAGGU
Molecule: long non-coding RNA, 1146 nt
Organism: Lepidothrix coronata (blue-crowned manakin)
Lineage: Eukaryota; Metazoa; Chordata; Aves; Passeriformes; Pipridae
Exons: 2
Source: RefSeq, a predicted model, not a curated record